RNAcentral lists this transfer RNA (75 nucleotides) under Pseudomonas nitroreducens. RNAcentral's name for it is "tRNA-Cys". It matches the Rfam family "tRNA". Rfam says of the family: Transfer RNA (tRNA) molecules are approximately 80 nucleotides in length. Lineage: Bacteria; Pseudomonadati; Pseudomonadota; Gammaproteobacteria; Pseudomonadales; Pseudomonadaceae. The record is from RNAcentral.
GCUGAAGUGGCUGAACGGAUAGGCAGGUGAUUGCAACCCACCUUUAUGCAAGUUCGAAUCUUGUCUUCAGCUCCA